Molecule: ribosomal RNA, 254 nt
Filed under: uncultured bacterium
Lineage: Bacteria
Description: partial 16S ribosomal RNA
Rfam family: Bacterial small subunit ribosomal RNA
Source: RNAcentral
UACGGGGGGAGCAAGCGUUGUUCGGAUUUACUGGGCGUAAAGGGCGCGUAGGCGGCCACCGCAAGUCAAUUGUGAAAUCUCCGGGCUUAACUCGGAAAGGUCAACUGAUACUGCGGGGCUAGAGUGCGGAAGGGGCAACUGGAAUUCUCGGUGUAGCGGUGAAAUGCGUAGAUAUCGAGAGGAACACCUGCGGCGAAGGCGGUUCUCUGGGACGGUACUGACGCUGAGACGCGAAAGCGUGGGGAGCGAACAGG